AUGAAAAAAUGGGUGGAAAAACAAAAUUGUUGCAUUUAUAAUUUUGUUCAGUGUAUUUCAAAUAUCAUAUAUUUCAAAAGCAUUGAAAACAGUUUGUUUUUCCAUGUAAUUUUUUUUUUUUUUUUAUCACUAAAUAUGUUUUCGGGUUUUUUUUAAAGUAACGACCAAGCGGCCAGCGUUAGACAGUGAGCAUAUGUUUGAUCAAUGUACCCUUCUCAAAUCAUCACGACUUGCCUAAAAUAAAAUCUAUAGAUAUAAAACAGUUCAAGCAUAUAACAAUGUUUAAACGUUAGAUCCAGAUAAAUGUGCGCUAUAUCCAAUAGUUUGUGCGGAGAUGCUUCAGGACAUGGAGACACCAGCUCAGUGGAUACGCUGUAAUUUUUGCUCAAAGUUAAGAGUAAUAGGGGAGUGCGGGGCACAAAGUAUCGCGGGGUUAGUUGUAACACACGUGGUUUGAAUAUUUCCACACAUGCUAACAUAACAAAAUUUACAGCAUUUAUUAGUUAGGGCUCCAAGCUCGGGAAUGGCCCGAACCUAGAGUACACCCUCCCCCCGUAUAGUUGUAAAAUGAACUCAAAGUGAGGAGAUGUGGUGGAGGAGGGAUGCUGAUAAACCAUCAAUAGAUAGAGGUAAGUAAGCUAUAUUUAUGCUAUGGUGUUGAUUAACUUGGUUGUGUUCCACCGGUGUUGAUUAGGCUAAGUAUCUGAUGCGCUCCUCCCGAACCUUGUUAGUAAAACAUCAUUUAAAAUGAGACAUAUCUGCUAUUAUUUUAAUCUCCAAUCUGUUAUUUAUCAGUUCAGAUAAUUUUUUAAUGCUUUGAUAACUAGCAGAGGACUAUAAAAAAAAUGAAAACACGGCUACUUGCCACCGUAAGUAAAUAAUUAAAUGCAAAAUAUUGAUUUGAGUUUAAAUAUUUGAACGCAAAGCUUCUAUAAAGACAGCAGUUGCGAGCAAACGGCUAAUUCAAACUAAAUGGACAUUUAAGGGAAAUGGUGCAGUCAAACCAUGUAUUACACAACAUUUCACCUCAAAAUAAUUAAGGCAAUAAAAGAAUUAAGACUAAAAUGUUUUAAAACCUUAGCAGUUUGUUAGUUCUCUUAUAAUCCAUUACAGCGUACAAAACAAUCGUAGCAAAAUGGCAGCAGCUGCGUUUGUAUGAAACGAGAGUGAGUCGGCGAUACCAGGAUGACAUAAUUAAACAAUUGUACACCAUUUUGAUUCAAGUUUAAAUAUUUUAUUAGCUAAACAAACGCAAGCUUCCAACAAGAAAAAAAUAGUUCAAGCAAGAGUACAGCGCCGACCGCUGUUACCCGGAUGAGCCUGUGUUAUUAGCUAUUACAGGUUGUUAUCCAGGGAUAGCAUACCUCGGAAUGUCGCGACUGUAUAUAUAUAUAUAGUCUGGACAUCCACUGGGAAGAAAAUACAGAGACUGGACCUCUUGGAACU
Long non-coding RNA from Cyprinus carpio carpio, 1446 nucleotides. NCBI's taxonomy places the organism in Eukaryota, Metazoa, Chordata, Actinopteri, Cypriniformes, Cyprinidae. The record is from Ensembl.